This 389-nucleotide ribosomal RNA is filed under the name uncultured bacterium. Its description in RNAcentral is "bacterial SSU rRNA". It matches the Rfam family "Bacterial small subunit ribosomal RNA", at positions 28 to 411 of the family's 1533-position model. The record is from RNAcentral.
GAUGAACGCUAGCGGGAGGCUUAAUACAUGCAAGUCGAGCGGUAACUAUGAGUAGCAAUACGAGUAGCUAGAGCGGCGCACGGGUGAGGAACACGUAGCUCAUCUGCCCAGAAGCGCGGGAUAACGCCCCGAAAGGGGUGCUAAUACCGCAUAAGCUCACGGUUUGCAGAGGACGGUGAGAAAAGGGGAAACCCACUUUUGGAGGAGGCUGCGGCCCAUCAGGUAGUUGGUGCGGUAACGGCGCACCAAGCCGACGACGGGUAGCCGGCCUGAGAGGGUGACCGGCCACACUGGGACUGAGAUACGGCCCAGACUCCUACGGGAGGCAGCAGUGGGGAAUAUUGCACAAUGGGCGCAAGCCUGAUGCAGCGACGCCGCGUGAGGGAUGA